RNAcentral lists this ribosomal RNA (1167 nucleotides) under Triticum aestivum (bread wheat). RNAcentral describes it as "partial small subunit ribosomal RNA". The record is from RNAcentral. Lineage: Eukaryota; Viridiplantae; Streptophyta; Magnoliopsida; Poales; Poaceae.
AUGCUCCGUCUCCGAGAGCGCAUCGUUUCCCGUCUCCUCUCUUUCUCCUCCACAUCCACCUCCGCCCCGGCCACCCCCCCACUCCGCCGCCUCCUCUCCGCCGUCGCGGCCCCCAUUCCCCCGAGCCGAGGAUUCGCCGUUGAGGAGUACCUCGUCCACACCUGCGGCCUCACCCGGCCCCAGGCGCUCAAGGCCUCCACCAAGCUCUCCCACCUCAAGUCCCCCGCCAAUCCCAACGCCGUCCUCGCGUUCCUCUCCGGCCUCGGCCUCUCCAGCGCCGAUGUCGCCGCCGUCGUCGCCAAAGACCCGCUUUUCCUCUGCGCCGGCGUGGAGAGAACCCUGGGCCCCGUCGUCGCCGGGCUCACCGGCCUCGGUCUCUCGCGUCCUGAGAUCGCCCGCCUCGUCUCGCUUGCCCACUGCCGCUUCCGGCGCAGAUCCAUCGUCUCCAAGAUGCACUACUACCUGCCCCUCUUGGGCUCCUUCCACAACUUCCUCCGGGCGCUCAAGUGCUCACCCUAUCUUCUCACGCGGGACCUUGAUACGACGGUCAAACCCAAUGUCGCCUUCCUGCAGGAGUGCGGGCUAGCUGCUUGUGAUAUUGCCAACCUGACCAUGGUUAUUUGGGGGAUGCUGACCUCCGACCUGGAGCGCCUCCAGACGAUGGUGACAUGCGCCGAAGGUAUAGGCGUGCCCCGUGGCUCUGGGAUGUUCAGAACUGCGCUACAUGCUGUCGCAUUCCAAAGCGAGGAGAAGAUCACCGCCAAACUGGAGUACUUGAAGAAUACGUUCAGGUGGUCUGAUACCCAAGUGAGGAAUGCUGUAUCUAGGGCUCCAAUGCUGCUGGGCAGGUCAAAGGACGCACUGCAGCGCAGGUCCGAGUUCCUGUUAGCUGAGGUGGGGCUGGAACCCGUGUGCAUUGCUUAUCGACCGAUAAUUCUCUGUCUUAGCCUGGAGGGCCGGGUCAGGCCCCGGUGCUAUGUUGUAAAGUUUCUCAACAAAAAUGGAUUGCUAGAUCGCGACCUGAGCUUCCAUACUGCAGUCAUGAAGACCGAGAAGGAUUUCGUCGAAAAGUAUAUAUGCCCUCACAAGGAAGCUGCGCCACACCUCGCUCAAGACUAUGCAACCGCUUGCAAAGGGGAAGUGCCAGAGAAUUUUAGAUUUACAUGA